UCUUUGACCUCGGAUCAGGUAGGGAUACCCGCUGAACUUAAGCAUAUCAAUAAGCGGAGGAAAAGAAACCAACAGGGAUUGCCCUAGUAACGGCGAGUGAAGCGGCAACAGCUCAAAUUUGAAAUCUGGCUCUCUUUGGGAGUCCGAGUUGUAAUUUGCAGAGGAUGCUUUGGCAUUGGCGGCGGUCUAAGUUCCUUGGAACAGGACAUCACAGAGGGUGAGAAUCCCGUACGUGGUCGCCUGCCUUUGCCGUGUAAAGCUCCUUCGACGAGUCGAGUUGUUUGGGAAUGCAGCUCUAAAUGGGAGGUAAAUUUCUUCUAAAGCUAAAUACUGGCCAGAGACCGAUAGCGCACAAGUAGAGUGAUCGAAAGAUGAAAAGUACUUUGGAAAGAGAGUCAAAAAGCACGUGAAAUUGUUGAAAGGGAAGCGCUUGCAGCCAGACUUGCCCGCAGUUGCUCACCUAGGCUUUGGCCUGGGGCACUCUUCUGCGGGCAGGCCAGCAUCAGUUUGGGCGGUUGGAUAAAGGCCUCUGUCACGUAUCUCCCUUCGGGGAGACCUUAUAGGGGAGGCGUAAUGCAACCAGCCCGGACUGAGGUCCGCGCAUCUGCUAGGAUGCUGGCGUAAUGGCUGUAAGCGGCCCGUCUUGAAACACGGACCAAGGAGUCUAACAUCUAUGCGAGUGUUUGGGUGUCAAGCCCGAGCGCGCAAUGAAAGUGAACGGAGGUGGGAACCCUUUGGGUGCACCAUCGACCGAUCCUGAUGUCUUCGGAUGGAUUUGAGUAAGAGCAUAGCUGUUGGGACCCGAAAGAUGGUGAACUAUGCUUGAAUAGGGUGAAGCCAGAGGAAACUCUGGUGGAGGCUCGCAGCGGUUCUGACGUGCAAAUCGGUCGUCAAAUUUGGGCAUAGGGGCGAAGGACUAAUCGAACCAUCUAGUAGCUGGUUCCUGCCGAAGUUUCCCUCUGGAUAGCAGAAACUCAUAUCAAAUUUAUGUGGUAAAGCGAAUGAUUAAAGGCCUUG
This 1017-nucleotide ribosomal RNA is filed under the name uncultured Ascomycota. RNAcentral describes it as "eukaryotic LSU rRNA". It matches the Rfam family "Eukaryotic large subunit ribosomal RNA", at positions 1 to 1032 of the family's 3401-position model. The record is from RNAcentral. Lineage: Eukaryota; Fungi; Ascomycota.